Molecule: transfer RNA, 72 nt
Filed under: Johansenicoccus eremophilus
Lineage: Eukaryota; Viridiplantae; Chlorophyta; Chlorophyceae; Sphaeropleales
Description: Chlorophyceae sp. KF-2023a tRNA-Gly
Rfam family: tRNA
About the family: Transfer RNA (tRNA) molecules are approximately 80 nucleotides in length. Their secondary structure includes four short double-helical elements and three loops (D, anti-codon, and T loops). Further hydrogen bonds mediate the characteristic L-shaped molecular structure. tRNAs have two regions of fundamental functional importance: the anti-codon, which is responsible for specific mRNA codon recognition, and the 3' end, to which the tRNAs corresponding amino acid is attached (by aminoacyl-tRNA synthetases). tRNAs cope with the degeneracy of the genetic code in two manners: having more than one tRNA (with a specific anti-codon) for a particular amino acid; and 'wobble' base-pairing, i.e. permitting non-standard base-pairing at the 3rd anti-codon position.
Source: RNAcentral
GCGGGUAUAGUUCAGUGGUAGAACACUUCCUUGCCAAGGAAGCCGUCGCGCGUUCGAAUCGCGUUACCCGCU